GAUGAACGCUGGCGGCGUGCCUAAUACAUGCAAGUCGAGCGAACGGACGAGAAGCUUGCUUCUCUGAUGUUAGCGGCGGACGGGUGAGUAACACGUGGAUAACCUACCUAUAAGACUGGGAUAACUUCGGGAAACCGGAGCUAAUACCGGAUAAUAUUUUGAACCGCAUGGUUCAAAAGUGAAAGACGGUCUUGCUGUCACUUAUAGAUGGAUCCGCGCUGCAUUAGCUAGUUGGUAAGGUAACGGCUUACCAAGGCAACGAUGCAUAGCCGACCUGAGAGGGUGAUCGGCCACACUGGAACUGAGACACGGUCCAGACUCCUACGGGAGGCAGCAGUAGGGAAUCUUCCGCAAUGGGCGAAAGCCUGACGGAGCAACGCCGCGUGAGUGAUGAAGGUCUUCGGAUCGUAAAACUCUGUUAUUAGGGAAGAACAUAUGUGUAAGUAACUGUGCACAUCUUGACGGUACCUAAUCAGAAAGCCACGGCUAACUACGUGUCAGCAGCCGCGGUAAUACGUAGGUGGCAAGCGUUAUCCGGAAUUAUUGGGCGUAAAGCGCGCGUAGGCGGUUUUUUAAGUCUGAUGUGAAAGCCCACGGCUCAACCGUGGAGGGUCAUUGGAAACUGGAAAACUUGAGUGCAGAAGAGAAAAGUGGAAUUCCAUGUGUAGCGGUGAAAUGCGCAGAGAUAUGGAGGAACACCAGUGGCGAAGGCGACUUUCUGGUCUGUAACUGACGCUGAUGUGCGAAAGCGUGGGGAUCAAACAGGAUUAGAUACCCUGGUAGUCCACGCCGUAAACGAUGAGUGCUAAGUGUUAGGGGGUUUCCGCCCCUUAGUGCUGCAGCUAACGCAUUAAGCACUCCGCCUGGGGAGUACGACCGCAAGGUUGAAACCCAAAGGAAUUGACGGGGACCCGCACAAGCGGUGGAGCAUGUGGUUUAAUUCGAAGCAACGCGAAGAACCUUACCAAAUCUUGACAUCCUUUGACAACUCUAGAGAUAGAGCCUUCCCCUUCGGGGGACAAAGUGACAGGUGGUGCAUGGUUGUCGUCAGCUCGUGUCGUGAGAUGUUGGGUUAAGUCCCGCAACGAGCGCAACCCUUAAGCUUAGUUGCCAUCAUUAAGUUGGGCACUCUAAGUUGACUGCCGGUGACAAACCGGAGGAAGGUGGGGAUGACGUCAAAUCAUCAUGCCCCUUAUGAUUUGGGCUACACACGUGCUACAAUGGACAAUACAAAGGGCAGCGAAACCGCGAGGUCAAGCAAAUCCCAUAAAGUUGUUCUCAGUUCGGAUUGUAGUCUGCAACUCGACUACAUGAAGCUGGAAUCGCUAGUAAUCGUAGAUCAGCAUGCUACGGUGAAUACGUUCCCGGGUCU
This 1372-nucleotide ribosomal RNA is filed under the name uncultured bacterium. RNAcentral describes it as "bacterial SSU rRNA". It matches the Rfam family "Bacterial small subunit ribosomal RNA", at positions 28 to 1381 of the family's 1533-position model. The record is from RNAcentral.